UUAAAAUAAACCCCGUAGCCACGGAGUGAUCCGUAAGUAGGCAACCUGGACAAAACGGCUUUCCUUGCCAGCUGGAAGAAAAGGAUAGCGCCUAAAGUAACCGUAAAAUAAGUUUCAUGAAUUCGAAAGAAACUUGCAGUGAAUUCUGGGUACCUGGAUUUGUUUUCUAGUGUAUUUGCCUGUUAGCUGCCAUCCUGAUAUUUUCAUUUCUGAUGACAACUAUCACGGAACACUGCUAGAACUCAGAGCCAGCCUGUGACGGGGCCAGGUAACUUCUACAUACUUAGCUAAAAUGUUUUUUUCUUGCCUGCCAUUCUCCAUUUAGUGUCUUUGUA
Molecule: long non-coding RNA, 335 nt
Filed under: Naja naja (Indian cobra)
Lineage: Eukaryota; Metazoa; Chordata; Lepidosauria; Squamata; Elapidae
Description: lncRNA (ENSNNAG00000016261.1)
Source: RNAcentral